This 491-nucleotide long non-coding RNA is filed under the name Marmota monax (woodchuck). The record is from RNAcentral. Lineage: Eukaryota; Metazoa; Chordata; Mammalia; Rodentia; Sciuridae.
GGCGGGUCCGGCUCCCGGGAUCCAGGAGCGGAGAAAGGGAGCUGGCCAGGAGCGGCCCAGGUCUAGGCGCCCACACGAGGGUGGGACCCUGGGAGGACUCUGCCGCCGCCUUGGAGCCUCGGUCCCGGGCUGCCUGUCCCCUGGAACCGCCAGGGCGGUCCCCACAGCGCCCACCGCCCGACCCCGCUGUCCCGGUUCUCAGCUGAGGGCUUUCCUCAGUGGAGCUGCUGUUCACAGCUGGGUGGGUUUUGAUUUGCAGGGUCCUGUUCAGGAUGCGGUGGCCUCAGCAAAGUGGCCUGGGCCGCGGACCUCAGAGGAGAAGAGGUGGCCUGACCCGCAGGCCCCCUGGAGAGUGGGAGGGCGACUGAGGAGCCCAGUGUGACCUGGGGAGCAGGAGGCCGGUUUAAAAGAGAGACCCGCCCAGGUAUUUCAGGUCUCACUGACUCUGUGUCCUUUUGUUUUCCUGUCGCACCUGUGAAUUUUGUUUUAAG